AAGUCGUAACAAGGUUUCCGUAGGUGAACCUGCGGAAGGAUCAUUAUUGAAUUUCAUUUUUAUGCAACUUUCGAGUUGCUAAAAACCCCCCCUCAAAUGUGUGCAUUUGCAAUUCCUUUGGCCUCUUUUUCAACCUCCUUUUGAUUCGAGCCUUUUGGGCGAGAAGAGAGAGAGAGUGGGAAGAGAGAGGUCAUUGAAUUACACCGCUUCUACCUGUCUGAAUGAAUCUUUUGCGUUCUUUCUUUGUGAAAGACGACACUAUGAAAUAAAAAAACUUUUAACAACGGAUCUCUUGGCUCUCC
RNAcentral lists this unclassified non-coding RNA (302 nucleotides) under fungal sp. RNAcentral describes it as "partial internal transcribed spacer region". The stretch from base 1 to 46 matches the Rfam family "Eukaryotic small subunit ribosomal RNA", at positions 1786 to 1831 of the family's 1831-position model. The record is from RNAcentral. Lineage: Eukaryota; Fungi.